CGUGUGAUUGAACGGUGUACCAUAAAUGGUAACAGGAAUCAAUGUGGAUCACACAGCGGGAGCAUUGAACACCACUCUUAUAUCGUGGAAGCAUGGCUGGUUCUCCCUGGCAACCUCAUCUAGCUGUCCAGAAAUCAGAGGAAGCAAACCGCACGCACGCUCAAUGAAACAGUGACUGCAAAUGCUCAGCUUCAGACUGUGGGAUGGGAGGGAGAUAG
Long non-coding RNA from Mobula hypostoma (lesser devil ray), 218 nucleotides. RefSeq lists it as uncharacterized. The record is from RefSeq and is a predicted model, not a curated record. The transcript is spliced from 3 exons. NCBI's taxonomy places the organism in Eukaryota, Metazoa, Chordata, Chondrichthyes, Myliobatiformes, Myliobatidae.